RNAcentral lists this long non-coding RNA (755 nucleotides) under Dunaliella salina. Its description in RNAcentral is "long non-coding RNA (DSAL_LNC000005)". The record is from RNAcentral. Lineage: Eukaryota; Viridiplantae; Chlorophyta; Chlorophyceae; Chlamydomonadales; Dunaliellaceae.
GCUUGGGGGGGAGCAGCUGGAAGAUGUCGUAAAUCUGGUCCUUGAAACCACGAGACAGCAUCUCAUCAGCCUCAUCCAGCACGAACAUCUUGAUGAAGUCCGCGCGCAGGCAGCGGCGGCGCAGCAUGUCGUACACGCGGCCAGGGGUGCCCACAACCACAUGCACACCAGCACCCAGGAUGCGGGCAUCCUCGCGCACACUGGUCCCACCCACACAGGCGUGGCACUUCACCUGUCAAUGGAAGGGUGCGUGCAGGCAUGCGUGUUUUUCAGCUUGCCCACACAUCCAUGCAAGCAUCCACACAUGCAUGCAGGCCUGCAAAAGCAACAGCUGCCGCUACAAAGGGGGUAGUUUACAGAACACGCAACCAUACUUACAAGUCAAAGGUAUUGUCAGCUUUCGAGCGUAGUCCACAAGUGCAUGGACAUGGACAUACGCAUGGGUGCUGCAUGCAUGCUGCUUCUCCAGAGCUUGCAAACUUGAUGCUCUACCCCCCUGAUUUUGCUGUUCAUGUGCCAGGAUAAAGGCUCCUUUCUCUUCUUUGUGCAGCCACUUAACCCCUCCAAUGUGUGGGUCGCACACAUACCUGGAGGUAGUCACCCAAGGCGCGCAUGACCUUCUCAAUCUGCUGCGCCAACUCGCGGGUGGGGGCCAGCACCAGGCCCUGGCACUCCUGCUGGUUGAAGUCCAAGUUGUUCAGCACACCCGCACAGAAGGUGGCUGUCUUGCCUGUCCCGGACUGGGCCUGCUGAAU